UGGCCCCAAUAGCCCACACAUCUGACAGCCCGCUGUGGACAGAGACCAGGCAUCCAUCUUGAAGGUUACAGGUUCUGUCCACUUGGAAUAUACUCACCUUCACCUUCUCUAACCACUGUAGGGAGUGGACGUUCAUCUUGAGAGACUCAGAUCCUUUAUCAGGAGAAGCCAUCUUGCAUCCAGUGGCAACACCAAGUCUUUCGAUAUGGAUCUGUGAAUGAGAAUCUUACAAUUAUCCAUCUAAUCAUCACUUAUCCCAAAUCAGCACAACCACAGAGAAGCCAUGUGAGGAUGGAGGGGCUGGAGGGACCAGACUGUGCGCAGGUCUGGCUCCUAAAAUGCAAACAUGCAAAAGAAAGAGAGGAGUAGCUGUCGUUCCUCAAGCUGACAAAUUCUGCAUCUUUCAUCUGACAGCGAGGGGAGGGACCGAUCUGACUUUGAAACUCUACAACAUCUGGUCAAGGAAAAGUACAGCCCCGCCUGAAACUGAAUAAAACAGGGAUAAGUGUGUUCCCACUGCUUCCUUUGUAUUGA
Molecule: non-coding RNA, 534 nt
Organism: Ictidomys tridecemlineatus (thirteen-lined ground squirrel)
Lineage: Eukaryota; Metazoa; Chordata; Mammalia; Rodentia; Sciuridae
Source: RefSeq, a predicted model, not a curated record